RNAcentral lists this ribosomal RNA (474 nucleotides) under uncultured bacterium. Its description in RNAcentral is "bacterial SSU rRNA". It matches the Rfam family "Bacterial small subunit ribosomal RNA", at positions 328 to 793 of the family's 1533-position model. The record is from RNAcentral.
CGCUAUCACUCCUACGGGAGGCAGCAGUAGGGAAUACUUCACAAUAGGGCGCAAGCCUGAUGGAGCAACACCGCGUGAGUGAAGAAGGGUUUCGGCUCGUAAAGCUCUGUUGUUAAAGAAGAACACGUAUGAGAGUAACUGUUCAUACGUUGACGGUAUUUAACCAGAAAGUCACGGCUAACUACGUGCCAGCAGCCGCGGUAAUACGUAGGUGGCAAGCGUUAUCCGGAUUUAUUGGGCGUAAAGAGAGUGCAGGCGGUUUUCUAAGUCUGAUGUGAAAGCCUUCGGCUUAACCGGAGAAGUGCAUCGGAAACUGGAUAACUUGAGUGCAGAAGAGGGUAGUGGAACUCCAUGUGUAGCGGUGGAAUGCGUAGAUAUAUGGAAGAACACCAGUGGCGAAGGCGGCUACCUGGUCUGCAACUGACGCUGAGACUCGAAAGCAUGGGUAGCGAACAGGAUUAGAUACCCUGGUAG